AUGAUGUUACAUCCACUGGACCAGAAGUGAGUAUUCCAUCUACUGCUCUUCCUGUUAGACUCUUUUUAGUACCCAUCACUCUGGCUGACUGUCCCUCGUGCCCCGUAUCUACAGCUUUAGUGGAUUCCGGUGUUGCGGGGAACUUUACGGAUCAGACCUUUGCCUCCUCUGUCAAUAUUACUACCUACCCAUUUCCCUCUCCUUUUCCGGUUCAAGGUCUCGACUGUCGGCCUCUAGGAUCCGGAACCAUCACACACAUCACCCAACUACUCACCUUCACCAUGGAGCCCAAUAACCAAGAAAACAUCCCCUUCUUCAUCACCAGUGCACCAGUUCACAAGAUCAUCCUCAGCCUACUUUGGCUUCAGCACCCUAACCAUACCAUCUCAUGGUCGAGGAUGAGAAUCACUGACUGUUCACCUGAAUGCCGGAAGACCUGCUUUCCUGUCCCCUGUGGUUCCACGUGGGUUGAGAAUCCUGUGGAUGCCCUCCAGCCCAACAUCUUGGAGGUAUUCUCCAAGACCCGCGCUACCUGUCACCCUCCACAUCGCCCCUGGGACUGUGCCAUUGACCUGUUUUCCGGUGCUACACCUCCGUGCAAACACAUCUACUCUCUGUCGGUGGCUGAGACACAGGCCAUGGAGGACUACAUUCAAGAGGCGCUCCAACAGGGUUUCAUCCGCAGGUCCACGUCCCCUGCAUCGGCUGGUUUCUUCUUCGUGGCCAAGAAGAAGGGAGGAUUACGCCCUUGUAUCGAUUACCGUGGACUAAAUGACAUCACCAUGAAGUAUCAGUACCCUCUCUCGCUGGUGCCGUCAGCCAUCGAACAGCACCGCAGGGGCCUGGUUCUUUACCAAACUGGACCUGCGGAGUGCCUACAAUCUCAUUCGCAUUUGGGAGGGGGAUGAGUGUAAGACGGCGUUCAGCGCGAUGUCUGGUCACUACGAGUACUUGGUUAUGCCCUUUGUCUUAGCCAAUGCUCCGUCAGUGUUCCAGGCAUUCGUCAACAAGGUGUUCAGGGACAUGCUCGGACGUCAGGUGAUUAUGUUCAUCGAUGACAUCCUGAUCUUCUCGAACAACCUGGGAAAUCACAUCACUCACGUUCGAGCAGUUCUGGAACGCCUCUUGGCUAACCACCUGUUCAUCAAGGCGGAGAAUUGCCAAUUCCACCAGAGGGCUGUCUCCUUUUUGGGCUACCAAAUCAGCCCUGCAGUGAGUAAGGAUGGAGGACAAGAAGGUAGAUGCUAUCACGUUCCUCAUAAUGAGGAGACCAAGGCGCAGCGUGAUAUGAAUUGCAUUCCUCUUUAAUAAAAGAGAACACUGAACAAACUAUACAAAACAACAAAACGACAGUGAAACAAUAUAUAACGAGUGCUGACAUGCACCCAUAGACAAUAACCCACAAAAUACCCAAGGAAUAUGGCUACCUAAAUAUGGUCCCCAAUCAGAGACAACGAUAAACAGCUGCCUCUGAUUGAGAACCAAUCUAAGCAACCAUAGACAUAUAACCCCCCCCAAAGGUGCGGACUCCCUGCCGCAAACCUAAACAUAUAUGGGAGGGUCUGGGUGGGCAUCUAACUUUGGUGGCGGCUCUGGUUCUGGACGCUGCCCCCCUUCUUUACAUUGAGCCAUCCGCCCUUGUAGCACUGACCCGUGGAUCAUCGCCGGAGGCUCAUUGCUGCGGUUCAUCGCUGGCGACCCCGGACUGGGAACCUUUCCUGUAGACCCCGGACUGGGGACCGUCGCUGGAGACCCCGGGCUGGUGACACGCACCUCAGGGCGAGUGCGGGGAGGAGGAACAGGGCGUACUGGGCUCUGGAGACGCACAGGAAGCCUGGUGCGUGGUGCCGGCACUGGUGGUACCGGGCUGGGGACACGCACCUCAGGGCGAGUGUGGGGAGCAGGAACAGUACACACCGGGUUGUGACGGUACACUGGAGACCUGGUGUGUAUAGCCGGCAUAAAUUUUUCUGGAACUUUGACACGUUUCAGGAUGAAUACGAGGAACUGACACAGGUGGCAUUGGACAGCUAACAUGCUCCUCAGGGCGAAUGCCAUGCAUACUACACCAAACCAACAGCUCUCUCUCUUCACUCUCCUCCAAUCUGUCCAAUAACUCCUCGACAAUCUCAGACUCACCCCUCAACUUCGCCGACUGCUCCAUGUGCCUCCCCAAAAAAUCUUGGGGUUUCUGUGGCCUACCUCCCCGACGUUGUUGCUGUCCUCUCUUACUUCUCUGUUCCUCCUGCUUUGUUUCCACCUGCCUCCAUGGUAGGCAAUCCUCUCCUGCCAAAAUCUCCUCCCACGUCCAGGAUCCUUUACCGUCCAGUAUUUCGUCCCAGGUCCAUUUUUCCACCAAGCGCUGUUCCUCCCUUUCACGCUGCUUGGUCCAGGUUUGAUGGGUUAUUCUAUCACGUUCGUCAUAACGAGGAGACCAAGGCGCAGCAUGAUAUGAAUACAUUCCUCUUUAAUAAAAGAGAACACUGAACAAACUAAACAAAUCAACAAAACAACCGUGAAGCUAUAUAUAACGAGUGUUGACAUACAACUAACCAUCAACAAUAACCCACAAAAUACCCAAGGAAUAUGGCUACCUAAAUAUGGUCCCCAAUCAGAGACAACGAUAAACAGCUGCCUCUGAUUGAGAACCAAUCCAGGCAACCAUAGACAUAUAAACCCCUAGACUAGUAAACACCAUAAACAUACAAAAACCCUAGACAGGAUAAAAACACAUAUACCCACCCUCGUCACACCCUGACCUGACCAAAAUAAUACAGAACACAUGGAUAACUAAGGUCAGGGCGUGACAGAUGCGAUAAGAUCAUGGGAUCAGAUCAUCCCACUCUACCUUUUGUGGUUGAGGUAGACGCAUCGGAGGUGGGUCUGGGGGAAGUUUGGACACAACGACAGGGGAGACCCACUAAAAUUGUAUCCUUGUGCUUUCUUCUCCGAGAAACUGUGCCCCGCAGAGAGCAAUUAUGAAAUCGGCGAUCGGGAGCUCUCGGCGGUGAAGUAGCUGGAGGAUGCCAAGGAACGAUUCGUCAUCCUCACCGACCAUCGGAACCUUGAGUACAUAUGGAGACUGAAUCUGCGCCAAGCCAGGACUAGAAGACACUGGGUAUCUCUCCUCUGAUGGCUGCCAUGAAUGGUCACGUCCCUGCGGUCAAGCUGCUGCUGGACAUGGGCUCAGACAUCAACACUCCGAUCGAGACCAAACGUAACACAGCACAGACCCUGGCCUGCCAACGUGGAGCACUGCGUCAAGGGUGUGUCAGGUGGCUAUGCUGAGAUGGGGCAUGUUCUGCUGGACAAGAGCGCUUACGUCACCUGUCCAAACCUUCCAAGACACCGUGUGCACCAUUGCUGCAGACAAGGGCCACUACAAGUUCUGUGAGCUCCUCAUCAACAGCUAAUUACUGUUACAGUCUACCUUCAGUAUGAGAGUGAGUGUCAUUUCAGUCAGAAUACCAUUCCUCUCCAGUCUCAUUGCUCAGACCUGCAACUCGUCUCUGAGUUCACUUGUGAAGUUACAGAAAACGUUUGACCUCUGUCAUUGCCAACAAAGGGUAUAUAACAAAGUAUUGAGAAACUUUUGUUAUUGACCAAAUACUCAUUUUCCACCAUAUUUUGCUAAUAAAUUCAUUAAAAAUCCU
Oncorhynchus tshawytscha (Chinook salmon) is the source of this 3653-nucleotide long non-coding RNA. Lineage: Eukaryota; Metazoa; Chordata; Actinopteri; Salmoniformes; Salmonidae. The record is from Ensembl.